Molecule: ribosomal RNA, 446 nt
Filed under: uncultured bacterium
Lineage: Bacteria
Description: partial 16S ribosomal RNA
Rfam family: Bacterial small subunit ribosomal RNA
Source: RNAcentral
CCUACGGGAGGCUGCAGUCGAGAAUCAUUCACAAUGGGGGAAACCCUGAUGGUGCGACGCCGCGUGGGGGAAUGAAGGUCUUCGGAUUGUAAACCCCUGUCAUGUGGGAGCAAAUUAAAAAGAUAGUACCACAAGAGGAAGAGACGGCUAACUCUGUGCCAGCAGCCGCGGUAAUACAGAGGUCUCAAGCGUUGUUCGGAAUCACUGGGCGUAAAGCGUGCGUAGGCUGUUUCGUAAGUCGUGUGUGAAAGGCGCGGGCUCAACCCGCGGACGGCACAUGAUACUGCGAGACUAGAGUAAGGGAGGGGGAACCGGAAUUCUCGGUGUAGUAGUGAAAUGCGUAGAUAUCGAGAGGAACACUCGUGGCGAAGGCGGGUUCCUGGACAUUAACUGACGCUGAGGCACGAAGGCCAGGGGAGCGAAAGGGAUUAGAUACCCUUGUAGUC